AUACGGAGGAUGCGAGCGUUAUCCGGAUUUAUUGGGUUUAAAGGGAGCGUAGGUGGGAUAUUAAGUCAGCUGUGAAAGUUUGGGGCUCAACCUUAAAAUUGCAGUUGAUACUGGUUUCCUUGAGUACGGUACAGGUGGGCGGAAUUCGUGGUGUAGCGGUGAAAUGCUUAGAUAUCACGAAGAACUCCGAUCGCGAAGGCAGCUCACCGGGCCGGAACUGACACUGAUGAUCGAAAGUGCGGGUAUCAAACAGGAUUAGAUACCCUGGUAGGCCGCACAGUAAACGAUGAAUACUCGCUGUUUGCGAUACACUGUAAGCGGCCAAGCGAAAGCGUUAAGUAUUCCACCUGGGGAGUACGCCGGCAACGGUGAAACUCAAAUGAAUUGACGGGG
RNAcentral lists this ribosomal RNA (393 nucleotides) under uncultured bacterium. Its description in RNAcentral is "partial 16S ribosomal RNA". It matches the Rfam family "Bacterial small subunit ribosomal RNA", at positions 523 to 918 of the family's 1533-position model. The record is from RNAcentral.